This is a non-coding RNA of Nocardioides sp. Soil774, 59 nucleotides long. Lineage: Bacteria; Bacillati; Actinomycetota; Actinomycetes; Propionibacteriales; Nocardioidaceae. The record is from Rfam.
GAGCGGCGUCACUUCACUACGGAUCGUCCGGCACGUACCUGCCGGUGAAGGAGCAGAAA